UUGGAUAAGGACUUUCUGGAGAAGCUGUUGCAUAGGCUGGUUGGAGCUUCCAUCUUAGAAUGGAGCGUCCAAUAAUGAUAUCGUGCCAUUCUUUUUAUCAAAAUUAAGUAGGUUUCAACAAGUGACGUUGUCUUUCAGGAUAAGAAGGAUGGAACGAAGGGUUAGUAACCUAGUUUGGAGAAGGACGUCAUUUUGUAGUUGCUGGCCUGCAAGAAGCGCGAGACAUCAGGGCUAGAAAUAAUGGUCGCGCCACCGAUGAGGCCAGAAUCGUUAGACUUAAAGACAUCAAAACUGAGAAUCCAGGGAGGGUCCCAUUGAUCAAUGGUAAGUGCUCUUUGGGGAAGAGGGUGAGAGGAAUGAGGGGUCAAAGGAGCAAGAAAUCGACAGAACAAAAUUGUUGAUGAAAAGGAAGUUACAAAAGUGGUUAGGGAUUUUUUUUAAAAAAUGAGAUCAUUUCUGGUUUUCCAAAUGAUCCAGAGUGACCAAGUAGUGAGGGUAAUGAAAGAAUUGGAUUCCUGAGAAUUGACGUUGUUAGUGUUGAGCCAUUAGAGAAGCCAACGAGAAACAGAUAAGGAAUUAAAAGAUUCAGAUUGAAUCGUGAGGGGGAACCAAACCAAAUCUCUCUUGCAAAAUGACAACGGAGAAAGAGAUGUUCUGGAGUUGCAGAUUUUUCAAAGGAAGACAAUGAUCUUGAAGGAGAAUUUUUUUUGGUGAUUUACAGCAAAGCUUGAACAACAAACGCGACUAGUACGAUUUGAACACAGGUCACACUUGGGGUGGUGAACAUCCUUGACCAUCAAGCUAUUACAGAGUUCAUCUUGAACGAAAAUUUGAGCCUCCAUAGAUUAUGCCAAUUCUUUUACAGAUUAUGAGAAUGGGGAGAGGGUGAAUUCAUUUUGUAGAAGUGUUGGUAGACAUUUUUAACUGAAAAAAAAACCAUUGUGGUCAAAUAAAGGAAAAGGACUAAAUUCUAAAUUUAUAAAAAGUACAAAGACUUAUAACAUAUUUCAAUAUUUUUAUAAAAACGUUAUUCGAUAAAUAAUUGAAAUAAUACUAAAAUUUAAAUUUAGAGUGAUUUAAUUUUCUACACAUAUAUUUCUCCCUUUAAAAUUUGGGUUCCUUGUAUUUUCUUAAAUCUUCAACAUCACAAGGCUAUUCAAUUGAUCUUUACUUCGGCUCAACACUCGAAAACCUAGUCUUGAAAGAUUGAAAUGAUUUAUCUUGUUAGUAAAUCAUCGCUCAACACUCGAAAACCUAGUCUUGAAAGAUUGAAAUGAUUUAUCUUGUUAGUAAAUCAUCACUCACUUAGGCCCCUCUUUGGAUCACUGUUGUUUUAUUCUUAUCGAAAAUAAACACACAGCCUAUCCAAAUAUACCCUUAAUUGAAAUUGAAUCUGAAUCGAGUCCUCGCAUUACACUUUCCUCGGCCCUUUAUUCUUGACGGUUGAAUCCAUUGUAAAGUCCUUUGUUUCAAAGCAACAAACUUUAGCUCUGUCUUUUUCUUCAAUUGGGACUUUCCUAUAUGAAAAAAUAUAUAUUUUUCAUAUAUAUAUUUGUAAGACCCAAAUUUUGCCCGGGCCCAUACCAGCCAAAUAAACCCAAAUAAUAAAAACAAAAAAAGUCCAUUUACAUUAAACCAACAGCCCAUAAACUUAAACUCUUUUCAGCUAAAAAAAGAAAGACAAAACAACCCUAGCCGCAGGCCUAGCCACUGGCGCCGCUCCAACUCCCCGCAUGGCGCACGCCCCUGCUCUUAGCCGUCAACCGCCGCAUGCGUACCAGGCCUCCUCCACGCGUGUCAGAACACCUACAAAACAGCAAAAACACGCAACAACGAGCAGCAAUAGGCAAAAAACAAAAAAAAAAGAAACAAAAAGUUGUUUAGAUUGGCUAUAAAGCCAAAAAUCAGAGACUUGUAAUCGUCUUCGACCUCUUUACGAAUCUUGAGAAAUAAAAACAAAAAACAAAACUUUGAGAGGAUUUUCCUUUUAUUUCAAUCUUUCUUUUUUAUCUUGAUUUAUAUAAUUGUUUUUUUUUUAUUUUCAUAAACAAGAAUAAUAAGAAAGAGACUUACCGGAGAGGCCCCGUGACCGCUUUGUCGGAGGGCCGAUCUCCAUCGCAAGGGCUGAAGGUUGGGGAAAGGGAGGCUUCGUUCUCUUUUCUUCUUUGUGGGAAAAGAGGCGCUCCUCCCCGAAACCUGAGAAACGGGCUUAAAGGCCCUGCUUUGUGCGACGUCGGUCGCCGUUCUCGGGGUGCCGCGGCGGCGCGUGGUGGUCUGGCAUUUGGGUUCCUAAGCUAGGCUGAAACCCUAGCAAAGAAAGGGAAAGUCCCUUUUAAAUUUUCUAUUCUAUGUAAAAAAAAUUUGAAACUACUAAACUAAGUGAUUUUUUUUAGCUGUUAUAGUGGAAACGGCGCCGUUUGAGGGAGGGAAUUUGCACAUUCAUGCCCUAAAGGGGUAAUUUCUGCAAUUGGUCCUUUUUC
RNAcentral lists this long non-coding RNA (2480 nucleotides) under Gossypium barbadense (sea-island cotton). Its description in RNAcentral is "long non-coding RNA (GBAR_LNC019352)". Lineage: Eukaryota; Viridiplantae; Streptophyta; Magnoliopsida; Malvales; Malvaceae. The record is from RNAcentral.